This 58-nucleotide transfer RNA is filed under the name Neotoma lepida (desert woodrat). It matches the Rfam family "tRNA", at positions 8 to 63 of the family's 71-position model. Rfam says of the family: Transfer RNA (tRNA) molecules are approximately 80 nucleotides in length. The record is from Rfam by way of RNAcentral. Lineage: Eukaryota; Metazoa; Chordata; Mammalia; Rodentia; Cricetidae.
UAGCUCAGUUGGUAAAGUGCUUGCCUUAUAAGCGGGAGGACCUGGGUUCAAACCCCAG